GAUGAACGCUGGCGGCGGGCCUAAUACAUGCAAGUCGAGCGAACAGACGAUGAGCUUUCUCCUCUACUGUUAGCGGCUGACGGGUGGGUAACACGUGGAUAACCUACCUAUAAUACGGGGAUAACUUCGUGAAACCGGAGCUAAUACCGGAUAACAUGUUGAACCGCAUGGUUCAACAGUGCAAGGCGGUCUUGCUGUCACUUAUAGAUGGAUCCGCGCCGCAUUAGCUAGUUGGUAAGGUAACGGCUUACCAAGGCAACGAUGCGUAGCCGACCUGAGAGGGUGAUCGGCCACACUGGAACUGAGACACGGUCCAGACUCCUACGGGAGGCAGCAGUAGGGAAUAUUCGGCAAUGGGCGAAAGCCUGACGCAGCAACGCCGCGUGAGUGAAGAAGGUCUUCGGAUCGUAAAACUCUGUUAUUAGGGAAGAAAAAAUGUGUAAGUAACUAUGCACGUCUUGACGGUACCUAAUCAGAAAGCCACGGCUAACUACGUG
This 497-nucleotide ribosomal RNA is filed under the name uncultured bacterium. RNAcentral describes it as "partial 16S ribosomal RNA". It matches the Rfam family "Bacterial small subunit ribosomal RNA", at positions 28 to 507 of the family's 1533-position model. The record is from RNAcentral.